RNAcentral lists this unclassified non-coding RNA (241 nucleotides) under Hevea brasiliensis (rubber tree). The record is from RNAcentral. Lineage: Eukaryota; Viridiplantae; Streptophyta; Magnoliopsida; Malpighiales; Euphorbiaceae.
AAAAAGGCCAAAAAUACAACUAAGCAUUACAAGGCUAAGCUACUUUUAAGACUAAAAAACGAAAAUGUUUACUAAAUAAAGCUACAUCCUACAAAUUUCAACAAAGAAGCAACAACCCACUAAAAGAUUAAAGACCCCCAACACUAACACCUAACAUUUUCUAAAUUAUACCCUAAUUUCACCAUUUUUAUACUUAUAUCUACAUAAUACAUGUACUCAUACAAGUAGUAUAAGUCCGUAU